Molecule: ribosomal RNA, 243 nt
Filed under: Triticum aestivum (bread wheat)
Lineage: Eukaryota; Viridiplantae; Streptophyta; Magnoliopsida; Poales; Poaceae
Description: partial small subunit ribosomal RNA
Source: RNAcentral
AUGGUUAUUGUGUUGAUACCUAAAGGUAAUGACCGAUGGAGCCUAAAAGACUUCAGACCAAUAAGCUUACGCAACAUGAUUUAUAAGGUGAUCUCUAAGUGCUUAGUCAACCGGAUGCGACCCUUCCUAGAUGAGCUAAUCUCAGAAACACAAAGUGCUUUUAUCCCGGGGCGCAUGAUUACAGAUAAUGCACUGAUCCCUUUUGAGUGUUUUCACAAAAUUCAACAUGGUAAGGUGGCCUAG